Molecule: long non-coding RNA, 368 nt
Filed under: Ictidomys tridecemlineatus (thirteen-lined ground squirrel)
Lineage: Eukaryota; Metazoa; Chordata; Mammalia; Rodentia; Sciuridae
Description: lncRNA (ENSSTOG00000034433.1)
Source: RNAcentral
CUCUGUGGCUUGUCUUUUUUGCCUGCAGGUGCCAUAGGUACUGCGACCAUUCUGCAUCUGGCAGGACACGAGUCCCGAUUCACGUUCACAGCCAGCAGUUCAUGUGGCCGAGGUAUUUUGUUAGCUCCAUAGUAUUCAACACACUCCAUGGUUCAUGUUAUGGGAAGACGCAGAGGAAGCAGGACAAGUGCGGGGAGGACAGACACCUCUUCUCCCUCUCCCUGGUGCUCUUGGUGGAUGGGGAGGCAAGAAGAGGCCAAUGUCUGCUUACUGAUUUGAGGACUAGUUGAAGGAAUUGGAAGUGCUUAGCUUGGACUGGCAUGACCAAGGGAGAAAUAAAAGUCAGCAUGGAACAUUUGAAGGUAUGU